CAGCAGCCGCGGUAAUACGUAGGGUGCAAGCGUUAAUCGGAAUUACUGGGCGUAAAGCGUGCGUAGGCGGCUUUUUAAGUCGGAUGUGAAAUCCCUGAGCUUAACUUAGGAAUUGCAUUCGAUACUGGGAAGCUAGAGUAUGGGAGAGGAUGGUAGAAUUCCAGGUGUAGCGGUGAAAUGCGUAGAGAUCUGGAGGAAUACCGAUGGCGAAGGCAGCCAUCUGGCCUAAUACUGACGCUGAGGUACGAAAGCAUGGGGAGCAAACAGGAUUAGAUACCCCAGUAGUCCCUGUCUCUUAUAC
This 301-nucleotide ribosomal RNA is filed under the name uncultured bacterium. RNAcentral's name for it is "partial 16S ribosomal RNA". It matches the Rfam family "Bacterial small subunit ribosomal RNA", at positions 509 to 807 of the family's 1533-position model. The record is from RNAcentral.